AGAUGUAUUUUCACAAAAUGUCAUUGUUGGGACAGUAAAAAUGAGUUGGAGCCAUGCAUUCUAUGACAGUCAGACAUGGGAAAAGAUUCUUAAGGAUAGAAUGGGUUCUGCACUAAUGAUUGAAACAGCAAGAAACCCUACAUGUCCUAAGGUAGCUGCUGUAAGUACCAUAGUAAACAGAGGGAUAACGCCAAAAGCCUUUGUGUUCAGAAACUAUGGUCAUUUUCCUGGAAUCAACUCUCAUUAUUUGGGAGGCUGUCAGUAUAAAAUGUGGCAAGCCAUUCGAGCCUCA
This 292-nucleotide long non-coding RNA is filed under the name Marmota monax (woodchuck). Lineage: Eukaryota; Metazoa; Chordata; Mammalia; Rodentia; Sciuridae. The record is from RNAcentral.